GGCGGGGCCAGACGUUGCAUAAAAGGAGCCAGGGUGUUUUUCCGUGAGAAGCAGACGGACACGUUGCUGCUGUGCUGUGGUUGCAGGCGGCCAUCAUGAGUCACGUAGACGUGAAGAACUUGAAGCCGAGCAGCUUUGAGGACGAGUACUACGACGAGUACGACUACUACAGCCUGAGUGACAAGUACACAGAGGGGUCGGCACGUAAAGGUCGCAGCAAGAAGGAGGCGAGCGAGAACACCAACAGGCCCAACCCCGCCGGACACGAGCGGAAGAUUACGGAGAAGCUGCAGAACAGCGAGAAGAAAGCCAAGGAGUGAAGGUGCAGGUGAGUGCUUGCUCUGGGGCCGGGUGAGUCUUAAGGUGAGUCUUAAGGUGAGCCUUAAGGUGAGUCUUAAGGUGAGCCUUAAGGUGAACCAAAAGGUGAGCCUUAAGGUGAGCCUGAAGGUAACCAGGUAAGCCUGAAGGUGACCUUGUCCUCCAGCAGGAACCCUCUGAUGGCUAAACAGGAAACGACCACGGCCUCCACGGCGACCCGCCCUCACAUUCCGCCUCGCCACGGCAGGAAGACACCACGCGUGCCAACAUCCGGCACUGGUGGCGUGUGUGCACGCGCUCCCCCCACCUUUGGUGUGCACGUGCGUGGUGCGGUGACGUGCUGGCAGCUUGUAUUUGUGUGAUGAUGACGCUCAAAUAAAGUUUCAUUCAAAGUUG
Doryrhamphus excisus (bluestripe pipefish) is the source of this 714-nucleotide non-coding RNA. Lineage: Eukaryota; Metazoa; Chordata; Actinopteri; Syngnathiformes; Syngnathidae. The record is from RefSeq and is a predicted model, not a curated record.